This 1398-nucleotide ribosomal RNA is filed under the name Triticum aestivum (bread wheat). RNAcentral describes it as "partial small subunit ribosomal RNA". Lineage: Eukaryota; Viridiplantae; Streptophyta; Magnoliopsida; Poales; Poaceae. The record is from RNAcentral.
AUGGCCCUGACCAUUGCCGGCACCGGCUUCAGCACCUGCACUAGCAAGAAGCUGCGCGUUCUGCUCAUCCCUUUCUUCGCGACCAGCCACAUCGAGCCCUUCACCGACCUUGCCAUCCGCCUGGCCGCGGCCGCGGCCGUGGAGGCGACCGUUGCGGUCACGCCGGCGAACGUCUCCAUCGUCCGCUCCGUGCUGGAGCGUCACUACGGCAAACAUCACACUGCGCCUGUUAAGAUAACGACGUACCCGUUCCCGGCCGUGGACGGCCUCCCGGGGGGCGUCGAGAACCUCGGCAAGGCCGCGCCGGCCGACUCGUGGCGCAUCGACGCCACCGCCGUCAGCGACGCCCUGAUGCGCCCCGCGCAGGAGGCGCUCGUCAGGGAGCAGUCCCCGGACGCGCUCGUCACCGACCUGCACUUCGUCUGGAACGUCCGCGUCGCCGAGGAGCUCGGCGUGCCGUGCGUCCGGUUCAGCGUCAUCGGCGCCUUCUCGUCGCUCGCCAUGCGCCACCUCGAGCUCCUCGCCCCGGACGUCGCCGGCGGCGACCCCGACCCCGACGUUGUCGCCGUGGUCCCUCGGUUUCCGGGCCCUCCGGUACGGAUGCCGAGGGCCGAGCUGCCGGAGUUCCUGAGGAGGAAAGCGGAGGUGGAUGCGCCAAGGCUACGUGAAGCGCGCCUACUUCCUAGGGCCUGUCUCGCCGCGGCCAUCGCCGGCUGCAUCGACUGGCUUGACUCGAAACCAGACCGCUCGGUGGUGUACGUGUGCUUCGGCAGUCUCGCCCCCGUCUCGGACGCCCAGCUGCGCGAGCUGGCUCUCGGGCUGGAGGCCUCGGGAAGGCCGUUCCUGUGGGUGGUGAGGGCGGAGGAGUGGGCUCCGCCGGAGGGACGGGAGGAGCGUGUCAGAGACAGGGGGCUGAUGGUCACCACCUGGGCCCCGCAGACGGCCAUACUGGGGCACCAGGCGGUGGGCGCGUUCGUGACCCACUGCGGGUGGAACUCGGUGCUGGAGACGGUGGCCGCCGGUGUGCCGGUGCUGACAUGGCCGCUGGUGUUCGAGCAGUUCAUCACCGAGAGGCUGGUCACGGAGGUCCUCGGGAUCGGGGAGCGGCUGUGGCCUCACGGCGCCGGCGUACGGAGCACGAGCAGUGCAGAACACGAGCUAGUCCCCGCCGAAGCUGUGGCGCGGGUAGUGAUGGCGUUCAUGCCCCCUGGAGGACCAGGGGACGCGGCGAGGGGCAGGGUGAGGGACCUUGCCGCAAAGGCUCACGCAGCCAUGGUGGAAGGAGGCUCAUCGCACCGUGAUCUGCGGCGUCUGGUCGAUGAUCUCGUGGAAGCAAGAAGUGCUGCUGGAGGGAUCAAGUCAGUUCUGGCACCCAUUGGAAGUCCCUUCCAUGGUUAA